AUAUAUAUAUAUAUAUAUAUAUAGGCCAUGGCUACUAUACUAUUAUGAGUAUUGGAGCCCUCGUACUCAUAAGUUGUUUUCAAUGAUGGAGCUUCCGUAUCGACAAUCCACUCCGUUAAAUAUGAUCUAAAGUAUUUGAAACUUUUAGAAAAUAAAUUUCAUAAAUUUUCGAAAUCAUAAUAAAGUCCAUCAAGUGGGCAUAAAAUGAAUGGUCAAAAGCGAACGACGUCCUAAAAAAUGAUGAUCGGAUCCUUCAAUUCAAGAUCGGAGUUAUUGAUAUUAAUCUAUGCAGUGAAUAGAAUUUUCUAUCAAAAAAUCAACAAAUUUUGAUUCUUUUACACCGUUAAACUAGCAAGUAUCCCAUACCGGCCGUUAAAAAUUGUCAAAUUUGUGACCUCUUGAUCGUAAGGUAAAUGAUAUCGAAAAAUUAUAAAAUUUGAUUUCUAGAAGUUUUAAAUGCUGUAAACAACGUUUAAUGGUGUGGAUCGUCGAUUCGGAAGCUCUAUCAUCGAAAACAACUUAUGAGUAUGAGGGCGAUCGUACUCAUAAUAGUAUAGUAGCCGGACUCAUAUAUAUAGAGCAGGGCUGCUGUCCUCUCAGGAGCACGGAGGCCUCUGUGCUCCUGAGCCGUUUUCGAUGACGAAAUUUUCGAAUCGACGAUCGGCUCCGUUAGACUUGAUCUAGCGCAUUUGAAGUUUCUAGAAAAUAAUUUUUGCGAUUUUUCGAUAUCAUUUACCUAGUGAUUGAAAGGAUUCAAAAUCUAUAAUUUUUAAUGGUUGAUAUCUGCCGUUUUCAAGUUUAACGGUGUAAAAGUAUUCAAAUCAGAUGAAAUUUUGAUAGAAAAUUCUUUAUACUAUUUACAACAAGAUCUAUAUUUCUGAUCGAAAAUUUUAGUGCUAUAUCACCACUUUUUAUAGGAUUUUUAUUUUCAGCCGUUAAAAAUUAUUGAUUUUGAAUCAUUUCAAUUGCUAGGUAAAUGAUAUCGAAAAAUCGCAAAAAU
This 1000-nucleotide long non-coding RNA is filed under the name Ananas comosus (pineapple). RNAcentral's name for it is "long non-coding RNA (ACOM_LNC038075)". Lineage: Eukaryota; Viridiplantae; Streptophyta; Magnoliopsida; Poales; Bromeliaceae. The record is from RNAcentral.